AGUGGGUUCUUCAUGAUUGGAAUGAUGAACAAUCCUUAAAGAUAUUGAAGAACAGCAAAGAAGCUAUUUCACACAAAGGGAAAGAUGGAAAAGUGAUUAUCAUCGACAUAUCAAUUGAUGAAACAAGUGAUGAUCAUGGAUUAACUGAAUUGCAAUUGGACUAUGACUUGGUGAUGCUUACAAUGUUUCUUGGUAAAGAAAGAACAAAGAAAGAAUGGGAUAAACUCAUACGUGAUGCAGGUUUCAGCAGCUACAAGAUAUCUCCUAUAUCUGGUUUCAAGUCUCUCAUUGAAGUUUAUCCUUAAUUUUAAUUUUAUGUUGCUACAAUUUAGUUUUAACUACAAAUUCAAUAAGUAUCUGUUUGGAGAGUACUCAGAUUAGUAAUGUUUAUUGUUUCGUCUUAAAAAUUAAUUUCCCAAACUUGUUCUUCGCAUACAUGGAAAUCAUUGUCCCCUACCCAAAAUGUAGUGUUUGGUAUAUCAAAAUGCAUUCGGAAACUGAACAAUAAAAUUACCUAAUAACAAUAAAUGAGUAAAACUUGUAAAAACCACCGAGACUUAGCCAAAAGUCAAGCCAAAAAUACUCAUAAUCAAAUAACGUAUAUAUGUCAGUACACCAAUAAAAAUAUUAGAGUUAGCUAGAGAAGGGCUACACUUACUAGAGCAUGAGCUACCUCUCGCUGGCUUUUCCCAUUUAAUUACCAAAGGACUAGACACACUGCUACUUAGACCUGCAUUAUCACCUCGGCCUGCUAUCACAGAUGCAGAUAUUUGCUGUCGCGGAAUGCUAUUGUUGGCCUGAACCCAACCCUCAAUCAGUUGCAAUGCUCGAUCCAAAAUUUGUGCACACGUUUGUUACAGUUUGCCAUAGCUUGAGGUUUCUAUGCUUCCAAAAACUUCACAUAAUAUUAAUAGCAGCCAUACGAGCUGAUUCAUGUGCAUUNNNNNNNNNNNNNNNNNNNNNNNNNNNNNNNNNNNNNNNNNNNNNNNNNNNNNNNNNCGGAUAGAUAGGAUUCUCUUGAGAAGAGUUUAUAAAGAGGAGGCAAUCCUCACCUUACAAGCCGGUUUUGUAAGGAUGAGUUAGGCCUCAACAUUCGUGACAAUAAGAUGUGUACAGUAUCUUCAUAGUUAUCGUUGCACACAACACAAUUCGGUGGACAUUGAACCCUUUGUCUCGUAGGUGAGCACAAGUUGGAAAGAAACCACGACAUAUCCACCACACUAGAUUCUUAACCUUUGGAGGAACUUUCAGCCACCAUAUAUAUAUACCAGACCAAUAACCAGCAGGCCGCUUGAGAUGAGAAAUAUCAAUUAGCUCAUCAACACAUAAAGCACUAACCAUGCAUGUCACGAUUCCAUUCUUUUGUUGAAUGAUCAAUGAAGUGUUCUACUUUAACAUUUUGAAGGUAUACUAAAUUAUGAUUAGCUAUAAAAAUGCAUGCUCCAUCAUUUUUUUUUUGAAUAAGCUAAAUUAGCCCACCCAAAUUGCAUGCUCCAUCAUUAAGCCAAGGUUCCUCUAAAAUAGGAAUACUAGCCCCUGGUCCAAUGCAUCUGUGAGAACCGGCAUGAACAAGAAAUUUAACAUUUGAUAUACUUCUCCACACAAAGCUUGAGUUAUGACCAUCUGACAACGAAAAACAAUUCCUAUGGGGAAAGUACCGUGCCUUGAAUAAAUGAGAGACAAGACUAUUUGGAUUAGAUUGGAGUUUCCAUCCUUGUUUUCCAUGCAUCGCAAGGUUGAAAGUUGUAAGGUCCUUAAGGCCCAUACCUCCACUGUUUUUAUGCACCGAGAGUUUUUCCCAAGACAGUCAGUGAAAGCCUAUAUUAUUGGAACCACCAUGAACCUACCAAAAUGCAUUCAUCAUCUUUUCAAUUGCAUCUAUCAGCAAGCUAGGAAUAAUAAAUAUGCUCAUAACAUAAGAUGGAAUAACUUGCAGAACUGAUUUAAUCAACACUUCUCGCCCUGCUUUAGAUAGACACUCGCUGCUCCACGAAUUGAUCUUGCGCCGAAAUCUAUCUUUAAUGAAAUUGAACGUGACCUUCUUGCUUCUACUGUCCAUUGAAGGUAAUCCAAAAUAUUUUCCGGUACCUAGCUAACACAGCUUGCACACUCAAUAUGUUGGUAAUAGAGUUAUUGAUCGCCUGCUACAAAAAAAAAUUCUGACUUUGGGAGGUUAAUAGCUUGUGCUAAAGUUGCUUCAUAAGUCUCUUAGUCUCCUAUAUAUUUUUCAUAGUUUAAGCUUCAUGCUCCUCAUCCCUGUAAAACAAAAAAGCAAUCAUCUACAAAUAAAAGGUGAGUGAUUUUUUUUGAACAAGCAAAAAAGGUGAGUGAUUAUUGGUGCAUUUCUACUAAUCUUGGUGCCAUGGAUAUUUCCCUGACCCUCCGCUUCUCUAAUGAGAGCUAAGAGCCCUUCAGCACAAAUAAUAAAGAGAUACGGUGAUAAAGGAUCUCCUUGCUGUAACCCACAACAUGGAAUAAAUGGACCAACCAUGUCAUCAUUGAUAAUCACAGAGUAAUCCACCGAUUCAACACACAUCAUAACCCAUCGAACCCAUUGUUGAGAGAAACUCAUCUUAACCAUCACCUCCUUAAGGUAAUCCCUGUCAAUUAGGUCGUAAGCUUUGCUAAUAUCAAGUUUGAGCGCAACAUUGUCCAGUUUACCUCUGGUUUUAGAUUUCAUGAAGUGAACUAUUUCAAAAGCCAUGAUUGCAUUAUUAUCAAGAAUUGAUCUCCCGUGGACAAAUGCAGAUUGGUUAUCCGAAAUGCAUUUAUCAAGAACUCUCUUCAGCCUAUUAGAGAGCACUUUGGAGGCUAAUUUAUAAAUAACAUUGCAAAGGGAAAUCAGUCUCCAAUCCUUCAUAGUCUUUUGUUCUUCACCUUUAGGAAUGAGGGCAAUAUUCGUCAUAUUGAGGGUAGCAUGGAAUUGACAUGUAUUGAGCCAAGAACAACACUCCUGAAAGAUAUCAUGACUACAUAAUUUCCAUCAGGUCCGAGACACUUUUUUGGUUUCAUAGAGAACAAAGCAUCUUUGAACUCUUCCAGAUUAAAAGGGGCUGUGAGAUACUCAUUAUCAGAAUCAAGAAUAGUAGUAGAAAUCGCUAAUUACAGGGUAACGAAAACUAUUCUCUUUUGAAACAAAUCAUUAAAAUAAUCUUUUGUCAAGUCACUCAUACCAGGGCUGUCAAUAACUCUUCUACCACUCACAUCUUCCAAAUACUAAAUACUAAAUACGAUUUACCUUCUUCCUAGACGUGUUGAUGCAUGAAAAAAAUCGAGUGUUGAGAUCCCCUUCCCCAUACCAAUGUGUCUUAGCACGUUGACGCCAGAACAUAUCAUCUUGAACCAAUAAGUACGUCAUCUGCUUUUGCAAAGCACUAACAUAGUUAGCAUUACUCUCGCCAACUUGAUCAUGAACUUAUAAUAAUUUUUUCAUGCAUUCUUCAAUCUUUUUUCUAAGGUUAUGACAAUGAGUUCUACUCCAUUGAGAUAGAUCAUCCGCACAAGCUUCAAUUCUCAGCAAAAUAAACAUAUCCGAAUAAUUAUUCCAGCACCGGUGUACAAUAUCAUCAAACUCAAACUCAAGACACCAAGCAUUUUCGAACUUAAACUUGCGAUAAGACGUACCAAAUCUCACAACAGGAUCACAAUCAAGAAGAAUAAGGCAGUGAUUUGAAGCAGGCCGCGCAACUAGUUUCUCCACCUUAGCAUUAGGAAACAUUUGAAACCUAGCUUCAUUAGCUAAAGCCAAGUCUAACCUUUCUUCAAUAGCACGGAGGAGGGUACCUAAACUCUUAAACCAAGUGAAAAGGGAUACCCUUCCAUAUGAACAUCUGAUAAUCCCUAUGAAGCACGGACACCGACACGACACCGACGCUCAUGAUUACAUUGAAUUAUGUCUUCNNNNNNNNNNNNNNNNNNNCCCUUGCGGUUUGAAACAUUUUUGCUAAAAAACUUCGGUUCGUAUUUACCGAAGCUAAAUAUUAGACCAUUUCGGUAACUGCAAACCGAACAUUAGCGUUUUCGGUACACAAAAAACGAACGUCAGCUUGUUCGGUAUCUGCGAAGCGAAAUGUCCUAGAUUUCGGUACGUUGGUCGCUGGAAUUAGGUCAUUUUCGAUAGAAGUUUACCGAAAUAAUUGUUUCGGUACCUGCGAACCGAAAUGUACCAGAUUUCGGUAAGUGGUUACUGAAAUUUAUCAGAAUGUCAGCUUAUUUCGGUUCGUAUNNNNNNNNNNNNNAACGGAAAUUCAGGGGGUAGAAAAGAAUUGAGGGGGGUUGGGAGAGAAAGUAUCUCUCCAAACACAUGGACAUGGACUCAUGCACAGAACACACUUGCACACACAUUUUUUACUUUUCUUUUUAGGAGGAAUCCAUCCAACGUUCACAUGACUUAUUACCACUAUUAAAUUUUUCACGCUUAUUAAAUUUUUUGCUUCGACUUGUCCUAUGAACUCUGUUUGCAGGAUUUUGCAUUAUACAUGAAGGGUGUCGGGGUUGGAUAUCGGUCAUGCCACUUAUCAAUAACUAAAAACUAUGACUCAUUAGAAGUAUCGAUCAAACCACAUUCUUUUUCUUUUAACCUUUUGUUGGGGAGUUUGGGGCCAUUCGGAAAAAACGAAUCAAUGUUUUAGGACAAUAAAAGAGUAAGAUGUCACCAAUAAUUAUUGGGUUUCAAUUGUGAGUGGUUAAGUCGGAAAUCGACUAUGAAUGAGAUAAAUGUUACACCAGAAUAACCACAAUUAAAAUUUGUUUAAAUCUAUAUUCUCUCCGAUUUUUUUAUAAGAAACAGCUCACUUUUUAAAUUCAUUAAUAACUGAUGUAUUUUGUCAAUAUUUGUUUGGUUGUGAUUAAAUUUCUAAUUGAACCAAAACCAAAAUAUUUGUUUGGUUGUGAUUAAAUUUCUAAUUUAACCAAAACCAAACAAUUAUUAAAUUAGCGGGACCCAAUUAGGAAUGAUACUCUUAAAAUUGAGUUUCGGAUUUAACUCAUCCUUACAAAAUCGGCACCCCUUCACGCCCAGCACUAUUGGGCUAGGUGCAUGGAUAUAAAUGAUGGGAAAUUUUUUUUUCUAUCCCAACAAUUGUCAAUCUACCCCAAUAUUAAUUUUGAAUGGACGAAUUUGCCCUCCUAUAUAAACUAAAACCCUGAAGAAAAAAAUUUGGUUACCGGAACACUUUGGAAAAAAGUGUUCUGAUAUGUAAAUUUUUUUUUGUUACCGGAACACUUUGGAAAAAAGUGUUCAGGUAUAUAAAAUUUUUCUAAUUUUUUUUUUACCUGAACACUUUGAAAAAAAGUGUGUAGGUAUGUAAAAUUUUUCCAAAUUUAUUUUCUUACCUACACACUUUGGAAAAAAGUGUUCAGGUAUGUAAAAUUUUUCUAAUUUUUUUUUUGUUACCUAAACACUUUGAAAAAAAGUGUGUAGGUAUAUAAAAUUUUUUCAAAUUUAUUUUGUUACCUACACACUUUGGAAAAAAAUGUUCAGGNNNNNNNNNNNNNNNNNNNNNNNNNNNNNNNNNNNNNNNNNNNNNNNNNNNNNNNNNNNNNNNNNNNNNNNNNNNNNNNNNNNNNNNNNNNNNNNNNNNNNNNNNNNNNNNNNNNNNNNNNNNNNNNNNNNNNNUAAAUUUGGAAAAAUUUUACAUACCUACACACUUUUUUUCAAAGUGUUCAGGUAAAAAAAAAAUUAGAAAAAUUUUAUAUACCGGAACACUUUUUUCCAAAGUGUUCCGGUAACCAAAUUUUUUUCUUCAGGAUUUUAGUUUAUAUAUGAGGGUAAAUUCGUCCAUUCAAAAUUAAUGUUGGGGUAGAUUGACAAUUGUUGGGGUAGAAAAAAAAAAUUCAAAUGAUGGAUGUUCCGAUAACAAAAACCUGAUAACAUGUGGCCCAACGGAUCGUGGAGAGCUCUGAUGCCAUCUUAAAAUUGAGUUUCAAAAAUAACUCAUCCUUAAAAAACCGAUGUGAGACUUCUUAACCUAUACUCUCAAUUUCUUUUAAAAAGUGGCGACUAGAAAUUUUAGUCAAGUUUUACAAAGAAUAAUAUAUUUUAACUAUAACUAUAAUAAUAAUCGACUAGAAAGAUGAAGAAUUGCAGUGACAAGUUACAUACCUCAUGAUAACGUAUACCUCACGAGAAGGACCCAGAUCAUGUGAAGUACAUGACUGCAUGCAGUCGUGUAGUAACGCGUUUUAGAUCGUCUGAUUUUGAUUAAACGGUCCAUGAUAAAGACAUAUUUUACUUUUAAACUAUUUGAUCUUAGACGGUAAAAAAACGUGUGAUUGCAUGAUAUGGAUCCCUUACAAAAAAUAAUUUGAUGUAUUUUGUUCAAAAUUUGGACUAAAUGCAUCCGCUUUUGUUGACCAAUUUUUUAUUAUAUUUUGGGACGGGGAAAUACUUAUAUUUAAGGGUAUUCAUGGUUAUAGAUAAUCUGUUUAAUCUGAUGACCCAACCCAAACUAACUUGCAUUUUUCCUGAUCCAUUCAUCUUUAAACAGAUUGGGUAGCAAUUUGGCUAAAAUCGACCCAACCCGACCCACCUAUACCCCUUACAUUGAGACAAUACAUGAUUUAAAACAAAAAAACAAAAUUGAAGCAACUAGAGAGGCAAUUAUGGGCAAAUAUGAACAAAAGUGAGACUUCUUGAGUCAUGGCCUACCGAACUCCACCUACUCCGUUCAAAAAAGAACACAAAAUUAACUCAUUACAACUCUAUCUCAUCCUAAUACAUGGCCGCCUCAGCAUGAAUUCAAGAUCGCAGCCAAACAAGACACAAGACAAUGCAUUGUUUUUUCACUGUUUCAUGUUAGACCAUUAUAUUUUGUUCAACAUUUGAAACAUAUAAAAAAGGUUCAUACUAGUUUAUUUUUACAUAUCCAUUUCCACCAAAACAUAAUAAUACAUCAACAAAGUACAUAAACAAGAGAAUACAAAUGGAUUUUAGUGCAAAUGGUUCUGAAGAAACUGAACUGUAUCAUGCUCAAAUCCAUUUGUAUAAACAUGUAUACAACUUUGUAAGUGCCAUGGCUCUCAAAUCUGCUGCGGAACUUGGCAUAGCUGAUGCAAUCCAUAACCAUGGAAAACCAAUGACUCUUACUGAAUUAGCUUCAUCUUUGAAACUCCACCCUUCUAAAGUUAACAUCCUAUAUCGAUUUUUGAGCCUGUUAACACACAACGGUUUCUUCGUUAAAAGCAAAGGGGAAGAAGAAGAAAUAGCUUAUGCUCUCACACCAUCUUCAAAGCUUCUCAUAAGUGGGAAAUCAACAUGUUUAUCAGCACUUGUUACAGGAGCACUUCAUCCAAAUUCUAUAGACAUGUGGAGCUCUACAGAGAAAUGGUUCAAUGAGGAUAAGGAACAAACUUUGUUUGAGUGUGCAAAAGGGGAGAACUAUUGGGAUUUUCUUAACAAAGAUUCUGAUAGAUUGAGUAUGUUUCAAGAUGCUAUGACUGCUGAUUCGAGAAUGUUCAAGCUUGCUCUUAAAAAGAACAAACAUGUGUUUGAGGGUUUGGAGUCUCUUGUUGAUGUUGCCGGUGGAACUGGUACAGUCACAAAACUCAUCCAUGAAGCUUUUCCUAACAUCAAAUGCACUGUUUUUGAUCAACCACAGGUUGUUGGUAACUUAACCGGAAAUGAAAAUUUGAACUUUGUUGGUGGUGAUAUGUUCAAAUCUAUCCCUCCUGCAGAUGCUGUUUUACUCAAGGUAUGUCUAUAAAAUCAAUUCUUACUAAUUGAAUUCAUUUUAUUUUGUUCAUGGUUUUGACCAUGACACGGACAUAAUAUUGACAUAUCUGAUUACAUUCAAUCGCGUCUAUCAGUAGCAUGUGUCAUGUGCCCGACAUUCUAAUGUCUGACAUGAAUAUAACAGUGACACGCGUGAUUGCAUACAUUCAAUCACCUAUAUUUUCAAUAAUUAUUAUUAGUAUCAACAUGUUGGUAUCAGUGUUGUAUCGUGUCAGUGACAAUAUUUCGUAGCUGAGGAAUAAAGCUAAAUAGAUAGUAACUAGUAACAAACUAAGGUGAAAAUUUUGUAUCAACAAAAAAACUAAAUUAAUUCUAUAUUGUUUUCAUUACAGUGGGUUUUGCAUGAUUGGAAUGAUGAACUAUCCUUAAAAAUAUUGAAGAACAGCAAAGAAGCUAUUUCACACAAAGGAAAAGACGGAAAAGUGAUUAUUAUCGACAUAUCGAUUGAUGAAACAAGUGAUGAUCAUAGAUUAACUGAGUUGCAAUUGGAAUAUGAUUUGGUGAUGCUUACAAUGUUUCUUGGUAAAGAAAGAACAAAGACAGAAUGGGACAAACUCAUACAUGAUGCAGGUUUCAGUAGCUACAAGAUUAUCCCUAUAAGUGGCUUCAAGUCUCUAAUUGAAGUUUAUCCUUAAUUUUAAUUUGAAGUUACUGCAAUCAAGUUUUAACUAUGAAUUCAAUAAGUGUCUAUUUGGAGAAUCAGAUUAAUAGUGUUUAUCAUUUCCUGUAAGAAAUUAAUUUCCAAAACUUGUUAUUUGGAUAUAGAUCAUUUCAUACCGGAAUGUGUUAUUUUUCUCUUCCUUAGGAAAGAAAAAUAAGGUCAUGUCUGUUUUUGAGAAUCAGAAAGUUUAAUGUACUGAAACCAAAAUUGCUCGAGAUUAUUAUAAAAUAAAAAAGCUUAUAGAGUGAUUCUCCCUCAA
RNAcentral lists this long non-coding RNA (8652 nucleotides) under Trifolium pratense (red clover). RNAcentral describes it as "long non-coding RNA (TPRA_LNC001441)". The record is from RNAcentral. Lineage: Eukaryota; Viridiplantae; Streptophyta; Magnoliopsida; Fabales; Fabaceae.